CACACACACACACACACACACACACACGCACACUAUGAGUACCUGCUGAUAUCCAGUACUGCACUUUUAUACUUAAUUACAAAAGCUGUGUGGGUGGGUGGGUGUGUGUGUGUGUUUGUUUAGAACAACAUAAAUGGUCUGGGUGUCAUUAGUGCUGAAGUCCGUGGGCUUUGAUGCUUGUGGUUGAAUGUUGUAUGAAUUCAGAGGUGUAAUGUUUAUUUGCAGUCUCUUGCUCACUUCAUAUUUACCCACAAUGCAGCAGUGAGUGUGGGUGCUAUAGGAAGUAAGGACAGUCUCUAAAGGGUUUUAUCUAAGUGUUUCUCUGACAGGAAAUAACUGAGGGCAGUGUGGAGUUGUUAAAUUUAGCCAUGUUCACCGGGAAGCUGUGGGACACACGUCUGGCAUUUCCUCCUCUGGAUAUUAAACCCUUCUGUUUUUAACCGCUUCUGUUUCUCUCAGCGCUAUUCUCAGAGACGCCCGCUGCAGGGAAAAUGGCGUGUUCCUGCAAGCUCUGAGGGCCGAUUGCUUUAACUGUGUGCUGUGAGCAGGAAUAAGGCACAUGGAGUGGAUGAGCAGCAGCGAUUACAAGGAAUAAGUGAAAGUCUUUAAAAACAAUACAAUAUAUUUAAACACAAACAAGCUUCCAGAUUCACAAUACACUGAAACAUAUCUCUGCUGUGUGUGUGUGUGUGUGUGUGUGUGUGUGUUUUAAUCAUCCUAUUGGUUAUGAAAUCUCUAGCGUAUUGUGUCAGAGCAGUGGAUCCACUCGACCUGACAAACUAUGAUAUAGUGACAUUAUGAGAUCACUAGUAUAUAUUACAUGAUCGUGUUUAGAACAUUUAUAAACAAGUUAAUGUGUUGAGUUCGAGUGAAUCCGCUCAGGUUUUCACGUUUCCAUGACGUUAUUGAUAUUUCUGAAGAAUUGCGUGCUUCUGUCACAACUCCAGCACUUGUAGUGGAAAAAAAUCAAACAAGACCAACAAGCUAAGUUUCCUGAAUGUACACACUGCUGAGCAUGUUCUAACAAGCUGAUAGUCCUUCUACACUCACACACACUCACACACACACACACUCACUCACACACACGAGUUUGGAUUCAGUGCUGGAGUGUGAAGAUCACAGCUGUGUUCACCCUGAGAGAAGGGGAUGAUGAUGAUGAUAAUGAUGAUGAAAACCUGUUGUGUGUUUGUGAGCAGGGAGUGUGUGUGUGUGUGCGCGCUAACCAGUUUUCAGUGUUUUUUCUCCUGUAUGACUCACGCAGUGUUUCUCUCGUGAACACAAUGAGACAGUACGUGUGUGGCCGCGUGCGUGUGUGCGUGCACAAACAGACAGUGGUAUGAAAGCUUUCUUCACUUUGCCGUAGGUCCCCUUUCCCAGGGUCUCCAGGAAGUCGUAUCUGUGCUUCAGGUUGUGUUUGUGAUGAUGCCGCUUGACCGCAUGCCGUUUCAACGGAGAAGCGAACUUCCGGUCGGCAU
Long non-coding RNA from Silurus meridionalis, 1475 nucleotides. RefSeq lists it as uncharacterized. The transcript is spliced from 4 exons. The record is from RefSeq and is a predicted model, not a curated record. NCBI's taxonomy places the organism in Eukaryota, Metazoa, Chordata, Actinopteri, Siluriformes, Siluridae.